RNAcentral lists this ribosomal RNA (467 nucleotides) under uncultured bacterium. RNAcentral describes it as "bacterial SSU rRNA". It matches the Rfam family "Bacterial small subunit ribosomal RNA", at positions 29 to 525 of the family's 1533-position model. The record is from RNAcentral.
AACGAACGCUGGCGGCAUGCUUAACACAUGCAAGUUGAACGAAUCAUUUGGAGCUUGCUUCAAAUAAAUUAGUAGCAAACGGGUGAGUAACACGUAGGAAUCUACCCAUCAGUACGGAAUAACUUUUGGAAACAAAAGCUAAUACCGUAUAUUCUCUCUGGAGGAAAGAUUUAUCGCUGAUGGAUGAGCCUGCGUCAGAUUAGGUAGUUGGUAGGGUAAUGGCUUACCAAGCCGACGAUCUGUAGCUGGUCUGAGAGGAUGAUCAGCCACACUGGGACUGAGACACGGCCCAGACUCCUACGGGAGGCAGCAGUGGGGAAUAUUGGACAAUGGGCGAAAGCCUGAUCCAGCAAUGCCGCGUGAAUGAUGGAGGCCUUAGGGUUGUAAAGUUCUUUUAGUUAGGGAAGAUAAUGACGGUACCUACAGAAAAAGUACCCGGCUAACUCCGUGCAGCAGCCGCGGUAAAG